AUUCCUACGGGGGGCAGCAGUAGGGAAUCUUCCACAAUGGACGAAAGUCUGAUGGAGCAACGCCGCGUGAGUGAAGAAGGGUUUCGGCUCGUAAAGCUCUGUUGGUAGUGAAGAAAGAUAGAGGUAGUAACUGGCCUUUAUUUGACGGUAAUUACUUAGAAAGUCACGGCUAACUACGUGCCAGCAGCCGCGGUAAUACGUAGGUGGCGAGCGUUAUCCGGAAUUACUGGGUGUAAAGGGUGUGUAGGCGGGUUUGCAAGUCUGAUGGGAAAA
This 273-nucleotide ribosomal RNA is filed under the name uncultured bacterium. RNAcentral describes it as "partial 16S ribosomal RNA". It matches the Rfam family "Bacterial small subunit ribosomal RNA", at positions 335 to 600 of the family's 1533-position model. The record is from RNAcentral.